This 521-nucleotide ribosomal RNA is filed under the name uncultured bacterium. RNAcentral's name for it is "bacterial SSU rRNA". It matches the Rfam family "Bacterial small subunit ribosomal RNA", at positions 25 to 518 of the family's 1533-position model. The record is from RNAcentral.
CAGGACGACGCUGGCGGCGUGCCUAAUACAUGCAAGUCGAACGGUCUUUCUAUGGAAGCUUGCUUCCACUGAGAAGAUAGUGGCGAACGGGUGAGUAACACGCGGGUAACCUGCCCAUAAGAGGGGGGAUAACAUCCGGAAACGGGUGCUAAUACCGCAUAGUUUUCUUGAUCGCAUGAUCGGGAAAGGAAAGACGGCCUUUGUGCUGUCGCUUAUGGAUGGACCCGCGGCGUAUUAGUUAGUUGGUGAGGUAACGGCUCACCAAGACGAUGAUACGUAGCCGACCUGAGAGGGUGAUCGGCCACAUUGGGACUGAGACACGGCCCAAACUCCUACGGGAGGCAGCAGUAGGGAAUCUUCCGCAAUGGACGAAAGUCUGACGGAGCAACGCCGCGUGAGUGAAGAAAAGGUUUUCGGAUCGUAAAACUCUGUUGUCAGAGAAGAACAAGUUGGAGAGUAACUGCUCCAGCCUUGACGGUAUCUGACCAGAAAGCCACGGCUAACUACGUGCCAGCAGCGGC